GACGAACGCUGGCGGCGUGCUUAACACAUGCAAGUCGAACGGAAAGGCCCUGCUUUUGUGGGGUGCUCGAGUGGCGAACGGGUGAGUAACACGUGAGUAACCUGCCCUUGAAUUUGGGAUAACUUCAGGAAACUGGGGCUAAUACCGGAUAGGAGCUCCUGCUGCAUGGUGGGGGUUGGAAAGUUUCGGCGGUUGGGGAUGGAAUAGCGGCUUAUCAGCUUGUUGGUGGGGUAGUGGCUUACCAAGGCUUUGACGGGUAGCCGGCCUGGGAGGGUGACCGGCCACAUUGGGACUGCGAUACGGCCCAGACUCCUACGGGAGGCAGCAGUGGGGAAUAUUGCACAAUGGGCGGAAGCCUGAUGCAGCAACGCCGCGUGCGGGAUGACGGCCUUCGGGUUGUAAACCGCUUUCGCCUGUGACGAAGCGUGAGUGACGGUAAUGGGUAAAGAAGCACCGGCUAACUACGUG
RNAcentral lists this ribosomal RNA (468 nucleotides) under uncultured bacterium. Its description in RNAcentral is "partial 16S ribosomal RNA". It matches the Rfam family "Bacterial small subunit ribosomal RNA", at positions 28 to 507 of the family's 1533-position model. The record is from RNAcentral.